GCCGGCCGGCCUGGGCGCGGAAGGGAAGCUGCGCGGGGGCGGGGCAGGCCGGCCUCCACUACCCUCCUAGGACCCCGCCGACCUCCGCCUCUGAGCAUGUGCGGAACUACGGCGCCUGCGCGGAACUGGGACGCCUGCGCGGUCGCGUCCUCGAAGCCUCUGCUCCGGGGACCGCCUCGGGGAGCGUGGGAACCUAGUGUAGGGGCGCUUUCCUGUGGUGGCGGAGUGUUGCGUGGGUGUGCGUGGGGGUCGGGGGCGUUUCCGGGAAGUUAAACGCCUGCUAGACUUUGAGCGGAAGCUGAGGGGGGCUGGCGACGCUUGAGGCUGAAUCCUGCCGUCUCUUUCACCUGCUGCUCUUGAGCAGUUAGCAAUCAAAUUCGUGAAAAGAGUGAAUCCGGAAAUAGAGAAGAUAUGAAAGAGGAUGAAGAAAUGAAAAUACAUCUAAAGCAUUCAGAAAUCACCAGGAUACAGGAUGAAUCAUACUUCAGGCCCAGGGAAGUGGAAGUCAUUUUAAUCUUGGACCAGUUAAAUUCUGGAGGCUGGAAAGUCCAAAGUGAAGGUGGCUGGCUGGUUCGAUUCCCCGUUCUGUUUUCAACAGAACAGGAGUCCAGACUAAGGAGUUGGCGCUGGAAUUGAGGAACUCACUGGCCAACUGGCAAGAAGACUGUGGCUAGUGGUAAGUGAAGGCUGUGAGUCAAAAAGAGGCAAGUUCUGUUCAAGGAACCGACAGUGAUUGUCCUGGCUGGACUGCACAGAGCAUGGCUGAGCUCGAGAACCAAGGCUGGAGAGGUAGAAUGGGGCCAGAUUAUGCUGGUCCUUGUAGGACAUGUUUCAGUUUGGUCUUUCUCCUACAGCAAACAGGAAAGCACAGAAGGACCUUUAGCUGUGGAGCAACAUGGUCAUAUUUGCACUGAACAUAUUAGCAUGAGGAACAGACUAGAAGGGGGUAGGUGAUGACAAGAGAGGACCCUGGGAGGUGGGUUUAGAGGCUAUUGCAUUAGUCCAGGGGAGAAAGGGUGGUAGCUUGGUCUAGGAGGUCGGCGGGAAGCAGAGGCCAUAGGGACCUUGCCUGGAAUUUUAAAAAGAACAAACAUUUCUGCAUUUAAUGGAAGAUUUGACCAGUUGACUGCAGUGGCUCCUCUGAAUACCCUUUGAGAGUGUCUGAUUAUUUCACUAAAAAGCAAGAAACCGCUUAAUAAAA
Long non-coding RNA from Balaenoptera ricei (Rice's whale), 1201 nucleotides. RefSeq lists it as uncharacterized. The record is from RefSeq and is a predicted model, not a curated record. The transcript has 4 exons. NCBI's taxonomy places the organism in Eukaryota, Metazoa, Chordata, Mammalia, Artiodactyla, Balaenopteridae.